This is a non-coding RNA of Trichonephila clavipes, 73 nucleotides long. The record is from the annotation of a GenBank genome assembly. NCBI's taxonomy places the organism in Eukaryota, Metazoa, Arthropoda, Arachnida, Araneae, Nephilidae.
GUUCCUGUUGCGCAAAGGAUAGUGCGUUCGACUAUCCAUUGCAAAGAUUGUGGGUUCGAUCCCACCUGGGAUG